This 855-nucleotide ribosomal RNA is filed under the name Caenorhabditis briggsae. Its description in RNAcentral is "SSU rRNA". It matches the Rfam family "Eukaryotic small subunit ribosomal RNA", at positions 89 to 999 of the family's 1831-position model. Lineage: Eukaryota; Metazoa; Nematoda; Chromadorea; Rhabditida; Rhabditidae. The record is from RNAcentral.
AGUGACGGCUCACUUAGAGCAGAUAUCACCUUGUUCGGAAUCCUAAUAUGGAUAACUGCGAGAAAUACUGGAGCUAAUACAUGCAACUAAACCCCAACGUAAGGCGGGGUGCAAUUAUUAGAACAGACCAAACGUUUUCGGACGUUGUUUGUUGACUCUGAAUAAAGCAGUUUACUGUCAGUUUCGACUGACUCUAUCCGAAAAGGGUGUCUGCCCUUUCAACUAGAUGGUAGUUUAUUGGACUACCAUGGUUGUUACGGGUAACGGAGAAUAAGGGUUCGACUCCGGAGAGGGAGCCUUAGAAACGGCUACCACGUCCAAGGAAGGCAGCAGGCGCGAAACUUAUCCACUGUUGAGUAUGAGAUAGUGACUAAAAAUAUAAAGACUCAUCCUUUUGGAUGAGUUAUUUCAAUGAGUUGAAUACAAAUGAUUCUUCGAGUAGCAAGGAGAGGGCAAGUCUGGUGCCAGCAGCCGCGGUAAUUCCAGCUCUCCUAGUGUAUCUCGUUAUUGCUGCGGUUAAAAAGCUCGUAGUUGGAUCUAGGUUACGUGCUGCAGUUCGCAAUUUGCGUCAACUGUAGUCGUGACUUCUAAUUUGCUGGUUUGAGGUUGGGUCCGCCCUUCAACUGCCAGCAGGUUUACCUUGAAUAAAUCAGAGUGCUCAAAACAAGUGUUUGCUUGAAUAGCUCAUCAUGGAAUAAUGAAACAGGACUUCGGUUCUUUUUGUUGGUUCUAGAACUGAUUUAUGGUUAAGAGGGACAAACCGGGGGCAUUCGUAUCAUUACGCGAGAGUGAAAUUCGGGACGUAUGAGACGCCACACAAGAUUUUCCCAAAAGAAGGGACAUAGACAGGGUAUG